GGAUGUGAGGGUGAUCUGGCUGCAACAUCUGUCACUCCAUUGAUUGCCAGGGUUGAUUCAGCUGAUCUGGCUGGCUAGGCAUGUGUCCUCUUCCUCCCUCACAGCUCCACGUGCAUCCCUCCCUAAGCUGCAUGCUCGGUUGAAGAGGAUGACUUUCCCUGAUGCAGGCAGUACUGUUCAUUGGCCAUGGGUAUAUGGUUGCUGCNCUCCCCUGCUAAAACCUCCAAGCAAGCUCAGGGUCCAAUUUUAGGAGAAUGUAGGGUAGGCCNGCUUCCAAGACUGCAGACACAUCCAAGUGAGGCGUUGCNCAUGGCAGUUUGCCAUUCUUU
This 329-nucleotide small nuclear RNA is filed under the name Amazona aestiva (blue-fronted amazon). RNAcentral's name for it is "7SK RNA". It matches the Rfam family "7SK RNA". From Rfam's summary of the family: 7SK was discovered as an abundant small nuclear RNA in the mid-70s but a possible function has only recently been suggested. Two independent studies have found that 7SK RNA binds the CDK9/cyclin T complex (known as elongation factor P-TEFb). The record is from Rfam by way of RNAcentral. Lineage: Eukaryota; Metazoa; Chordata; Aves; Psittaciformes; Psittacidae.